UGUAGAGAUCCAGAUCUUCUUACAUCUCAGCUGUUGGGAUGCUCCGAGACCGAAAGUUCCUAUAGGAAGAGUACAAUAGCUGCGAGGCUGGAUGAGGAAGGGAUUUGUCCUGUUUUGCUCUGCUCCCAGCAGCAUCACCCGAGCAUACAGGCAGCAGCUCGGAUUUCAGUUUGUCCUGACUCCUGGAACCAGGGUCAUCGUGCUCCUCAGAGACUCGAGCAGUGUGCCUUCUGGGCGGCGGUUGCUUCUGGCAGGUGCUAGCUCUCUGAUACUUAUUUUCCUUUGGCCCUUUCUUCAAUGCCUACUUAAUUCUUUAUAUGGUUCUGUUAAAAUAAUGAAUGGUUUCUGUCUCCUGACUAACCCAACUAACUGAUAGAACCUGUGGAUAGAACCUCUUAUUUUUCAGAUAAGCACAUGCCUGAGGAAGGUUAGAAUAUCCAAAGUCAAAACAUGGGUGUUUCUGGCAGAGCCAGGACUGGAAACCAAUUUGCUGAUUUUUUUUUUCCUUCAAUAGCGGAGGGGUUUUGACCUACCUACUCCUACUGAUGCAAAUAAAGAGAAGGUAAAGGUCAUGCUUUUCUCAGAAGUGAUGACUAAGACAUCCAGUGAUGGUGGUGGAAACCAGAACGAGCCUGGAUCUAAAACUUUGGUGAUGACUCCUCCCAUUUCAAAUCUUGUUGGCCCAGACCCUGCAUAACUGAAUCCCCACUCUGGGCCACUUAUAAUAUGAUUGCUCUUUCCUACUUUCCUUCCUGAUCUUUCACUUGCCCUUGAAGCAUUAAGAUAUUCCUACGUUUUGGUCCUUGACCUUCCAGUUUCUCUGAUUCUCAUUUCUAGCCCCUUCCUCUCAUCCAAUUAUGACAUUCAUAUAUUCAACUGCCUGCAGAUAUUCUUACCUGGAUAUCCUUCAGGCGUCUGACACUCAACUCAUCCUACUUUGACAGACCCUUCUACUCCUUCCACUCAAAAGAUUUUUCCUCUACUUCUUACCUCCAGUGAUGACCUCAUUGUCCACUCAGUCCUAUAAAAUGAAAACCCUGGGCAUCACUCUUAACUUUUUCUUCUCAGAUCACAUAGACCACCAGGCCCUUCUGGUUUUAUUUCUUUACCCCCAACCCUUUUGCUACAAUUCAGGUUCUCAUAACAUCUAAGGGCAUAGGUAUCUCUGCAUCUUGUGUUGUUUUUCUUAAAUAUAUCCAUCCAUGGCUAUUAGAGUGAUCAAAUAUGCAAAACUGACCAGGUUACUCCUCUGUUUAAACCCUUCAUUCAGUGGCAGUCCAGAGUAUGGUAUAAUAGAGCUCCCAAACAUCUGGUCCAAUCACAUUUCUUCUAAUUCCUGUUAAAGAAAGAGAUAACAAGCCCAAAAUGGGGUCACUUAUGCUAAGUCUCAUGCCAACAAACUGAGACUUAAUACCUACUUUAUAGUUUCAGCCUUUCCCAGGAAUGGAAUCUUAAACCAGUCAAUCUGGAAUUCCCUGGUCAACACUACUGAGGUAAUCUGCUUGACAGACCCCUGUGUCCCCUAAAGGAAGGUGACCUUGUCACAACCAAUCUGCUUAUUGCUAGUACAACUUCCUUGUCCCAUUUCCUUCUGCCUAUAAAAGUCUUUCCUUUAAUCAGAUAUACCAGAACCAGACUUUGAUUCAGAUGCUGGGGACACAGAGGCAGGGACAUCUGCUGAUAGCUGUGACAGUCACAGCUAUUCUCCAUUGGUGGGGUUUCUAGCACCAGGGGGCCAGUGAUAUUGUGUGAUACUGAGCAUCAUUCCUGGGUUCAAAGACUUCAAAUAGGGCUUUCUUAUUCUCCCAGAGAGUCAGUGAGCUACCUGCUAUCAUUUUGAAAACUUACUUUCUGCUUAAGUUUACCAGAAUUGGGGCUGUUGUUUACAACUAAAAAUACUCCCCAGCUAAUUUAUUAUUACUAUAUCACUUUGUCAGAUAAUUUUCUGUUUGGGUCUCCCUCACUAAGCUGUGAACCUCUUGAAAACAAGAACAGUUUCAUAUUUUUUGGAUCUCUAGUGGCUAGAAUAUAGCAAGUACAUUUUUUCCAAUGUUCAGAAAAUCUUCAUAAAAAGCACAAUGGGAAAAAUGUGUGCUAACAGUGCAGCAAUGGGGAAAGAAAAGUAACUCCACGUUGAUACAUUGGCACAAAGAGGAGGAAUAAACACACCAAUCAAACCUCAA
Leptonychotes weddellii (Weddell seal) is the source of this 2183-nucleotide non-coding RNA. The record is from RefSeq and is a predicted model, not a curated record. Lineage: Eukaryota; Metazoa; Chordata; Mammalia; Carnivora; Phocidae.